Molecule: long non-coding RNA, 2464 nt
Filed under: Medicago truncatula (barrel medic)
Lineage: Eukaryota; Viridiplantae; Streptophyta; Magnoliopsida; Fabales; Fabaceae
Description: long non-coding RNA (MTRU_LNC002137)
Source: RNAcentral
CCUAACCAAAGUCGUCUCCGGCUCCACCUCAACCGCAAACUCAUUACCGGAAUUUCAUCUCCCGGAUUCCACCAUCGGAAGCAGCAGCAGCAUGGAGCGAAUUCCACCAACGAACAUGGAAACCUGCCGCGAAUGCAACAUAGCAGGAUGUUUAGGAUGCAAUUUCUUCUCUCAAGAGAACAAGAAAAAACAAAUAAGAGCUAAAAAGAAGUAUAGAGGAGUGAGACAGAGACCAUGGGGAAAAUGGGCUGCUGAGAUUCGUGACCCGAGACGUGCUGUUCGUGUUUGGCUCGGAACCUUUACCACGGCGGAGGAAGCUGCCAGAGCUUAUGACAAUGCCGCCAUCGAGUUUCGUGGGCCGAGGGCAAAGCUCAAUUUUCCACUUGUUGAUGAAUCCCUUAAGCAUGUUGAGGAACCAGAAGUGAUCGUUCAUUCUAAGCAUGUAACAAAGGAUGAGAAUAUGAAUCAAGAAAUGCAAAUUGAAACAAUGACGGGGUUUGAGAAUAAUAAGGAUUGUGAUUUUUUGGAUAGCAUUGGUGAACCUGAUUUUCAACAAUUUAUGAAGUUUAUGGAAUUUUCUGGAGAUUCUUCUGGUUCUAGGACAGGGAAUCCUUUUAAUUAGUUCAUGAAUUCAACAACAAAUGAACAGUGAUUUUUUUUAGCAUGUUUAACUAGUGGUAGACUGAGAUUAAGUGUAUUGAUUAGCUUUGCUGUGCAAUGUGCAUAAUCUCUCUUCUACGAGAUUUUUUUUUAGGGAGGAAGUUGCUUUCUGCAAGUGCAAAUAGUGAUUUCAAUGUUUGAUUUUGAAGAAGAAUCCGCUUUGUAGAAUUGCUGUACUCCCUAAAAGUGUUUUUUUUUUAACGAGAAUUUAAUGUUUUGAGAGAAUUUAAAUCCUUGAAUAAUAAUAAUUUGAAUUUUUUUGAAAAUGAUGUAAAUCCUUGGAGAAGAAUUUGCCUUUGUAGAAAUGUUGUUCUCGUGAACUUAACCCGGUCAGUAUAAACAAUCUUCGGGAUUCAAACUCUAACCAUCACAAAAAAACGUUGUUCUCCCUAGGUGUUGCUUUGUUUCCAUUAUAAAUACUCUUCUUCAUAUUAGAACAACAAAAACCAUAAAACAUCAAAAUUAAUACAAUCAUUAUUAAUUAUUUUAAUUUUUUUAUAUAUUUUACAAACAUAUUUUUGUGAGAAAUUGUGAUUCAUUAAAUACAAUUACUAAUACUAAAAAGAUAAAUAUUAAAUGACUUUAAAUUUAAUACAUUAAAUAUAUAUUCGGUUUCAAUUACUGCAUUUUUUUUUAAUACGGAUAGGAAUGUGAAGUACUCCCUUCGUCCUACAUUUUGGGAGAAAGAGAGAGAAACAAUGGGUGUGAAUGAAAAAAUACUUUAAAGGGAAUUCAUUUAACGACAAUUAAAAAAAAGAGAAGUGGUAUUUUUUGUCCAAAAUUAAGGUGGAUUUAUCUUUAAAAAAAAUAAAUUAAAGUGGGUAUAUGGUCUUGUGAUAUUUUCAUUUCGGCUUGCAUGAAUGAAUGGUUCACAUUUCACAAGCAUGAGUAAAUUAUACGUAAAUUCCCGAACACCAAAACAGAAAUGUCAAAGUCUAAAAGAUACAGUUGUAGAAUGAAAUAGUAGUCAAGUAAACAACAAAUGUGAACGCACCGUCUUUAAGUGAACUCUCCUUUCGCUUUCUUCCCCUGGCUGGAACACCUGAAUCCUCAAUUGUUCUCUAUUGUGGGAACCAACCAACCCCACCAAAUCCUGUCUGGCAUUUUAAAAAAAAAAGAAAAAAUCACGUGAUUAAUUUAAUAAAUCCAACUUACUAUUAUCCAUUCAAAGACCAAUAGUGAACCGUGUGUGGGAACGGUGUACACAGCUGGCUCUUAAGUCUUACCUGCCAUGUCACCCCCUAAACCGUAUAUAAACCAACUCAAAUCUCUGACUUUCCCUUCAACUUCAAAAUCUUCUAAACCUUCAAAAACUCAGUUUCCAUACAUGAACUACGCCUUCUCCACUACCACCCUCACCUCCGAUCAAGAACUCUCAGUCAUCGUCGCUGCCCUAACCAACGUAGUCUCCGGUUCCACCUCCACCGUCGGCUUAGAUCGAAUAGUUCAACCGGUGAACAUAGAAACCUGUCGGGAAUGCAACAUAGCAGGAUGUUUAGGAUGCAAUUUCUUCCCUGAAGAGAAAAAACAAAAACAAAAACAAAAACAAAAGAGAGCUAAGAAUAAUAAGUACAGAGGAGUGAGGCAGAGACCAUGGGGAAAAUGGGCUGCUGAGAUUCGUGACCCGAGACGUGCGGUUCGUGUUUGGCUUGGAACCUUUACCACGGCGGAGGAAGCUGCUAGAGCUUACGACAAUGCCGCUAUCGAGUUCCGCGGGCCGAGAGCCAAGCUUAAUUUUCCACUUGUUGAUGAAUCUCUUAAGCGUACUGUUGAGGAUCCAGAAUUGGUUGUUCAUGUAAAGGAU